This is an unclassified non-coding RNA of Pongo abelii (Sumatran orangutan), 117 nucleotides long. It matches the Rfam family "Metazoan signal recognition particle RNA". Rfam says of the family: The signal recognition particle (SRP) is a universally conserved ribonucleoprotein. It is involved in the co-translational targeting of proteins to membranes. The record is from Ensembl. Lineage: Eukaryota; Metazoa; Chordata; Mammalia; Primates; Hominidae.
GCCAGGCGUGGUGGCUCACGCCUGUAAUCCCAACACUUUGGGAGGCCGAGGCAGGUGGAUCACUUGAGGUCAGGAGUUCGAGACCAGCCUGGCCAACAUGGUGAAACCCUGUCUCUA